GCUAUCGUUGUGUGGGUGGGUGGUGGCACGCAAGCCAGGUUGUAUGGUCUUUACAGUUAACUUAGUUGGAUAGGAAUAUACCACAAUGUUUUCCUGAACUGCUAAUGUCUUUUCACUGUCUCUAUGUAACAGUCCAUGGGUCUCAUGUAUUAUGAAUGGAGGUAUCUCUAGCUCUGUGUGUGUGUAGCCCCAGGAGCCCUAUGUGUUUGGGCAGGAGGCCCAGGCGGCUAUGCGUAGCGCGGUGACGUUGCGUUAAUCUCUCCUGCCGUUCCUCUACACACUCUUCUACCACGCACACACCUCCGCAGACACUGUGGCCACGCCUCUCUUCCUCCAGUUCCCCUCGGACCCUAACUGCCACACCAUUGACAGACAGUUCCUGUGGGGCCAGCCGUUCUACAGUAAGGGUCAGUACCUGCUCCUCCCAG
Long non-coding RNA from Coregonus clupeaformis (lake whitefish), 428 nucleotides. RefSeq lists it as uncharacterized. The transcript has 3 exons. NCBI's taxonomy places the organism in Eukaryota, Metazoa, Chordata, Actinopteri, Salmoniformes, Salmonidae. The record is from RefSeq and is a predicted model, not a curated record.